AGUCGAACGAUGAAGCCCUUCGGGGUGGAUUAGUGGCGAACGGGUGAGUAACACGUGGGCAAUCUGCCCUUCACUCUGGGACAAGCCCUGGAAACGGGGUCUAAUACCGGAUAUUACUCCUGCCUGCAUGGGCGGGGGUUGAAAGCUCCGGCGGUGAAGGAUGAGCCCGCGGCCUAUCAGCUUGUUGGUGGGGUAAUGGCCCACCAAGGCGACGACGGGUAGCCGGCCUGAGAGGGCGACCGGCCACACUGGGACUGAGACACGGCCCAGACUCCUACGGGAGGCAGCAGUGGGGAAUAUUGCACAAUGGGCGAAAGCCUGAUGCAGCGACGCCGCGUGAGGGAUGACGGCCUUCGGGUUGUAAACCUCUUUCAGCAGGGAAGAAGCGAAAGUGACGGUACCUGCAGAAGAAGCGCCGGCUAACUACGUGCCAGCAGCCGCGGUAAUACGUAGGGCGCAAGCGUUGUCCGGAAUUAUUGGGCGUAAAGAGCUCGUAGGCGGCUUGUCACGUCGGAUGUGAAAGCCCGAGGCUUAACCUCGGGUCUGCAUUCGAUACGGGCUAGCUAGAGUGUGGUAGGGGAGAUCGGAAUUCCUGGUGUAGCGGUGAAAUGCGCAGAUAUCAGGAGGAACACCGGUGGCGAAGGCGGAUCUCUGGGCCAUUACUGACGCUGAGGAGCGAAAGCGUGGGGAGCGAACAGGAUUAGAUACCCUGGUAGUCCACGCCGUAAACGUUGGGAACUAGGUGUUGGCGACAUUCCACGUCGUCGGUGCCGCAGCUAACGCAUUAAGUUCCCCGCCUGGGGAGUACGGCCGCAAGGCUAAAACUCAAAGAAAAUNUGUGAACG
Molecule: ribosomal RNA, 845 nt
Filed under: Streptomyces sp. LCK-2009.33a
Lineage: Bacteria; Bacillati; Actinomycetota; Actinomycetes; Kitasatosporales; Streptomycetaceae
Description: bacterial SSU rRNA
Rfam family: Bacterial small subunit ribosomal RNA
Source: RNAcentral